Molecule: long non-coding RNA, 2894 nt
Organism: Lolium perenne
Lineage: Eukaryota; Viridiplantae; Streptophyta; Magnoliopsida; Poales; Poaceae
Source: RefSeq, a predicted model, not a curated record
CGUUGAUCAACCUCUUCAAGAAGAAAGAUCGUCGUGGUAUCGACAAGAUCGUUGAAGACCGGUGUAGUCCUUGUUACCUUCUUUAUUCCUAUCUUGGAAUCUCGGAACGAGAUUCUUUUAAGGGGGAUAGAUUUGUAACAUCCCUGUUUUAGCUAAUCCUAAAUAGGAGUUGUAAUGUGCAUCAUGAGCAUGGAAUGCAUCAUUUAAUUUAACUCUCGAGAACAUACAUUGCGGAAAAUUUGGAACACAUUAAAAAUUAGCUAUUUUCUUUCCUAUUUUAAAUGUCUUCAAAAAGGUUUCAAAUAUAGUUUAUCUAGUCGAAGAGACAAAAUCUGCAGAUAUCACCGCACGCCUGAGUUAUCUGGAGCAAAAUAUCUAGCAGUCUUUAAAUUGAUAUCUAUGAGCUACAGUACCAUGCAUCUAAAAUAUCCAGAGGAAAGCACCGCACCUCAGCUGAAAAGAAGUGACCAACUAGUACUUCUAUUCCCCAACCUAACAGACCAUCCACCAUCGUUAUCCCUAUUCCCCAUCACACGGAAGCAGACCAACCCAGCAAACUUUUCCAGAACCAAGCUGCCGAGCCAUGGAGAUCACCUAGGAGGACUAGCGCCUAGACCUUUGGCUGGAGCAGAGCAAGUCGUCCAUCAAGGCAAGGAGAUGGAGAAGAGGAAAAGACCAACACAUCUCUGAUCGGUUCUUCUUCAUCUUUGAUCUUGAGUACAGAGCAAGUGCCGAGACGAUGAAGAUCGCCAACGACGCAGAUCAAUAAUUGUCCACCGACGAACAAGUCAAGCAUGGGAUCUCCGAAGAUCCACAUUGGUUUGUCAGGGACAAAGGCAAGCCCUAGCCUGGUUCAUAUUAUGAUUUCGAAAUGCUUUUACUUCUGGUUCCUACAUAUCGCAUUCGUUUCAAAUAUGUUUUAUCGGCAGGUAUAGUUAUCCUAUGUAUGUUGCAUUUACCAUCCUUGUAGCCUAAAUACUCUGAUCUACUGCUCCCAACAAGACUAGGUUUGAGCUAUGUGUGCAUCGCUAGAGCCGUUAUAUCGAAUAUACUUAGCAAUGCUUAGUUGAUGAAUUCUGAUCCAUCCGGUUGAUGAAUCAGAGCUGCGAAUGAACCUAGUAUGGCAGGAUGACGUGGUAAGAUCAGUGAUGAUAAUUAAACAUGCUUAAAGGCUUGGAUGGGCCGCCACAUGGGGAUGUGGUGAUUUGACUCGUUCUAGCCGAUACUAGGACCUGAGGUUCUCGCCUUCGAAACCAAGACUGAGCGUACAGCCACACGGGGCCCAUGGGAACCCCUUGGCCCGAACUUGCCUAGCUUACCCAUGAGUCAAUUAGUUUGCGGGUUCCAUUUGGCAUUCUGCAUGGCGAAGGCGUGGAAAAGGUUUUCAAAGGUGCAUCAUACAGGGCGUGGUCGGGGUGAAGGAUGCUGGAGGCAUUGAACUGGAUCCCCUGCGCACAAUGACCGGGACCGCCUCGGAGAAUGGCUACCUACGAUGACGGAGUUCCCCAGUUAGAUUGACUCAUGGAAUAGGCGAAGCAAGGGAAAGGUUUUGGUCGACCACCCUCUGCCGGCACACCAAGGAAGUGUGUUAAUCAUGUGGCGUUAAGAGUCGGUCGGCGCGUGUGGGUAAAGUUGUACACCUCUGCAGGGUAAAUCUUUUCGAAAAGCCGUGUCCACGGUUACGGACGACUUGGUGAUGGAUUCUGUGAUCAUAGACAACUUGAACCUAAUCGUAAAACUUGGAAUCAAUGUGUGAUAAGGAUCCCCUCUCAGGGUAUGGAGGGGGUGAUCCUAGUGGAUAGGUUCAGCAUAUGAUUAAUAUUCGGUGGAUUCAAUAUGAUGAUUAGUAGAGCUAGUGAUAUCGCUCUCUUAUCCCCUUUGAAAAUGAUCUGAGUAGACGAGCUUCUGCUCCCUCUUGUUUUACAAAGGAAAACUGGCUUUCUGCAAAAUAAGCUCCACAUAAAGCCUCCCAUACCAGAUUUGCUAAAAGGUUGUACUAAGUCUUGCUGAGUCCCUGUACUCAGCUUUGCAUGCUUUGUUUCAGACGAAGUCACUCCGACAAAUGAAGGUUUCUAGGUCGACAUCGACGAGUAGCUUGGGAUUCCCAGGUGGCAGCCUGGAAUCUAUGGGCUGGGACGUCGCCGUUUUGCUCCUGGCCUCUUAGGCCUUUUGCUAUCUUGCUAUUUAGAAUAGCAUAACUUCGCUUCCGUUGAUUGAUGAAAUGUCAGGUCAGUGACCUCUGCUUGUAAUACUUUGGUUUUUCGCUCAGGUAUAAGCUUGUAUUACUCUUUGAGUCGUAGAGUCACUGUUGUGUUACCGAUUCUCACCCUGUAGGCCCUAGAGAUCUAGGUUAGGCUUAUGCCAGAUGGAGAUCUGGGUUUGUCUAGCCUAUGACCCCCGGGGUCGCCACACGAGGCUUGAGGAUGAAGAUCGGCGAUGUUCUUAUUUGACGUCACCCUUUUUCUAGCAGACCCUCACGCGUUGGGGACAACGCUUCUGGGAGAAGGGGAGGAUGAUAUGGAUAUCCAGGCCUGGUACACUAGGACAACCAUUGAUAUGAUGAUUAAGUCUAAGGUUGUACCAGUAUUUUAUCACAGUCUUGUUAUUAGGAAAUAAUAAUGUAACCAGGUCAUGUGGUGGGCCAUUAGGGUUUAAAUUAGUGUUUGUUUGACUUGGGCCUGUCCGAGUCAAACUAGGUUAGGCCCAAUAGGGCUGGCCGGCCACCUCUCCCUCAUAUAAGGAGAUGGUGCGUCCUAGGGUUUGGUAGAUUAGAUUGAAUCCAGAAUAUGUAGAACUUUGAGUUCAUACUAUCACCGUCCCUAUGGGAUCGGCGUGCGUGACGGCGUCUUGGACGUUCGCCCGGUUAUCCAAUAAAGGUGUGAGAGUUCUUGAGU